AGAAGAUUUGCCUUUUGAAAGUGCUGGACCAGUGCUCCUGGAACCAUUAGUGGAUCAAGCCCUGUAAAGGGCAGUGAGUACUGUUGCUCAUAUACAAUGAUCCUAUGACUGACCAUGGCUUGGAUUUGAGAACAGGAACACUUCCUCUGCUUCCAAAUUCAUAUGAAAGAAAUUUGGUUAAGGUUUUUGAGAAAUGUUUUUCCUGGCCAAAAUGCAAGGUGAAGAUUACUUUUACCCGUUGCUUACUCACAAACCUAAUUCCAAAUUUUUGGAAACUAGCAUUUGAAUAUCAGAAAUGCUACCAUCAUUUCAACCACUUCUAAAAUAGCUCUCUGUUAGCUAUGUUAUUUAUUUUUAUGCAGAUCAGACUCCAGCAGAGCUUAGUUGACAGAGAAGUGAACACAUGGCAGAACUAUGUAGGAAAAGAGUUGAAAGUAUAUUUUAAUAAAUGGGGCUUACUCUCAUUUAAACUUUUACAUGGAAUCUGUUGUUCUUCAGUAGUUUCUCUUAUCUUACUACCUCUCUACUUUCUGUUGAGAAUGUGAACACAAGAAUGGAAUAUAGCUACAGGAAAUACCUUUGACAGUCAGCUUAGAACAAAUGGUUGUUUCUUCUUCAGUGUCUCACAAAUGUGUAGAGUAAAGCAAGAUAAAGUAAAGUAAAGCAAGACCUGGUGAGAAAGGCUUCAGGAAACUAACUCUUUGGUCUAAAUUUCUCUGACCUUUUCAAAGAAUGAGAUUGAGAGUUUUCUCCACAUCCUGCCUUUUAUGCAUAAAGGAAGACUCAUUCUUCUAGCCUUAUCAGAAUUACUAUGAAUGCUAACAGUGAUGGCAUUAAUAAGUUCAGCAGCAGCCUGAUAAACAAGAAGGAUUAGAGCAGCAGUUCUGUUGUUCCAUUAAUAAUGUUACAAGAGAAGGGAAAUCCAUUACGUUUGAAAAUUUACGUGUAAAUGCAGCUUUUAAAGGAACGUGUUUCAUUUCUUGAACAUGUUCUUUGACAUGCUAUAUUCUAUUACAUAGUUUUUCAUGUGUCAAUAAUUUUUUCUUGAACUUUUUCUGUUCACCUACACUUGACUGAGCCAGUCAUAAAUUUGGAGACAGUCUUCUCAAUUAUUUUUUAAGAUAGUAUAGUAAUGUCAUUUUAUAUAGAAUGGAACACUUAUCAUUUUGAAUAAUCUGCAAUAUAUAUUUGAUAAUAAAGUAGAUAAACUGGAAAUUAUUUUUGCUUCUGAAUUACUACAUACACAUAACAGUGCUGUUAGAAAGUGUUACAAUCUUGAACUUCUAAUAAUUUAACAGAGUUCAUGCUUAGACAUUACUGUUUAAUGAAAAUUUAACCAUUGGAUAUUUUUCUGAACUGCUAAGGUUGGAUUCAGUUCAACUGGAAGCUGAUUUGCAGUUUCUAAGAUAUGACUCACAUACAGUCAUGAGCAAGAAUUGGUUGCCACUGCCUGUUGAUUCAAAGAUGCCAUCUGUAAUUGCAAACAUUAAUUUUAAAUAAACAUGAUAGGCAGUUCCUGGCAAAGAACAGUCAGGUUUUAAGAUAGGAUUAUACUGUCAAUUCUGUACACUUCUGCCAACUGGAAGGGCAAUACAGCAGUGCAGAAGCAGUCAGGAAGACAUUUGGAGUGCAUUAAAAAUGAUUUCUUAACAUAGGUGACUGAGAAAUGAUGAAGGGUAGCACUGUGGUGGACAUAACACCGAUAUUGUGGAACUGGAUUUUAAGGUUUGACUGGCCUUGGCAGCAGUGACCAUGGAAUGGUGGAGUACAAGAUCCUGAGAGAAGACUGCAGGGCAAAUAGGAUCACAGCUUUUAAUUUCAGAACAGCAGACGGGCUAGUUUAAGGUUCUGCUUGGAAGAAACCCAUGGAAUGAGGUCCUGGAGAGAAGAGGAGUCUAGGAGAGCUGGGCUACCUCCUCUAAGAUCAGGAGCAGUUCAUCAGAACGUGCAGAGAAAGUCAAGAGAAGAUGGCAGGAGAUCUGCAUUGAUCAACAAGGAGCUCCUGAUGCAACUCGAACAUACUCAUGAGUGGAAUGGAAGGAGAUCUGGGUGAUCUGGGAGCGCUAUAGAGAUACUGUCUGAGCAUAUACAGCUGGGUUAGAAAAGGCAAAGUCCAGCUGGAGUUGAAUCUGGUGCGGGGUCUAAAGGGCAAAGAUGUGUUUUAUAAAUUUAUUAGCAGCAAAAGGAAGACUUUGGAAGAAGGAAAAGUAUCUAGGGUACUAUAAGUAUUAUAGUACCCUAUGCUAUAGGGUAUUAUACAUAAUCACUCAUUGAAAACUUGUCCUGUUAACAACUGCCUCUGUACAUGAGUAGGUCCAUGAACCCUAGAUAUGAGAGUGUGACUGGAGCUCCAUAUUUGGUCUUUUAUGUAACCAAGUAUCUUUAGUGUGAAAAGAAGCUUUGUUUUCUAAAUUGUAAGGUGACGGAGCAGCUCAUUCUCCAAACCAUUUCCGAACAUACUGAGAACAAGAAAAUGGCUCACUUCUUGACCAUUAGCAAAAGCAUUUUUUUAUUUAGCAGCUUUGCAGAAAAGCCUCUGCAACCCUGGUGGGUUGACUAUAAUAAUGACUGUAAGCAGGAAUAUGCCCUUGUAAGAAAAAACAACAAUAUCCCAGGCUGCAUUAGGUAGAGCAUUGUCCACAGCUCAAGGAAGCGAUUCUUCCCUUCUCAGCAAUUAUGAGGCUACAUCUAGAGUAGCGUAUUGUAUGAAGUUCCAGACUCUCCAGUACACGAACAUACUGGAGCAAGUCCAGCAAUGGGCCACAUGUAUGCCUUAACGAUUGGAGCAUCUAACAAACAGGGAGAGGCUGAGAUUGCUUGGGCUGUUUAGCCUUGUAAAGAGAAUGUUAAAGAGGGAUCUUAUCGAUGUGUAUACAUACAAAAUAGAAGGUAGUAAGGAACACAGAGACAGACUCUUUUUAGUGGUAGCCAGCAAAAGGAAAAGAGUCAAGGGACGCAAUAUGAUACAUAAGAAAUUCCACUUAAA
Long non-coding RNA from Cygnus olor (mute swan), 2986 nucleotides. RefSeq lists it as uncharacterized. Lineage: Eukaryota; Metazoa; Chordata; Aves; Anseriformes; Anatidae. The transcript has 2 exons. The record is from RefSeq and is a predicted model, not a curated record.